Molecule: long non-coding RNA, 9063 nt
Organism: Podarcis raffonei (Aeolian wall lizard)
Lineage: Eukaryota; Metazoa; Chordata; Lepidosauria; Squamata; Lacertidae
Exons: 3
Source: RefSeq, a predicted model, not a curated record
CCAGGAGGGUCAAAUGGGAAAAACUCCUGCCGCUCCUGGCAUCUUCAGAAGAGGGGGGAGAGGCAUCUUUGAUUAAUCCCUAUGGUCAGUGCCAGUUCCCCACCCUCAAGCUGGCACCCUCCUUUGGUUUGGAGCUGCUAUCCCCCCAUCAGCCCUAGCCAGUCAGUUUGAGAGUUCAAACCCCAAAGUCAGAGAAAGUUGUAGGCACAUGUUGUGAAUAGGCAGCUACAGUGGUACCUCAGGUUACAUACGCUUCAGGUUACAGACUCUGCUAACCCAGAAAUAGUACCUUGGGUUAAGAACUUUGCUUCAGGAUGAGAACAGAAAUCGCGCAGCGGCGGCGCGGCAGCAGCGGGAAACCCCAUUAGCUAAAGUGGUGCUUCAGGUUAAGAACAGUUUCAGGUUAAGAACGGACCUCCGGAACGAAUUAAGUACAUAACCAGAGGUACCACUGUACAUUUCUGUUUCCUUCGUUGUUGGCAUCCAUCUCUCGGAAGACAAUGGCUACUGCAUUUAACGCAGAUAUCACUCGGGCCUUACGUAAACCAAAAAUUACCCUUAAGCUUAAUCAAACAGGAAAAAAGACAUUUAUCAUAUUAAUCAAUUUAUUUAUUUAUUAGAAAGUGAUUCACUAAAAUCAUUUUAGAUUGAGCUACGUAGGCAAGGCUGCAUUCUGAGCAUGGAGGGAGCCAAACAGUUCGCAUUUAACAGGUUGGUGCUGGAAAGGGAGGGGUCAGAGAAACCACAAAAUUUGCCCUGUGUUUGUGUAGCUGGGGCUAUGCUGCUUCCUUGCCUUGUGGGAUGAGGGCUGCUUCCUGUUCUGUUCUUUGCCACUUGAAAAUAGCAAAAAGCAGAGCUGUUCAGAAGCUGCCUGAAUCUCCCUAGCAAUACAUGGCGCAGGAGGGAUAUGGAGGCUGACUUUUCUUUAUUGUUUUGCACCAAAGGAAAAAGGAGUGAACUUGACACCACUACAAAUGAGGGACGGGGGGGGAGAUAUUUGGUUCAUUUUGCCUUUUAACAUGAAGUUCUUUAAUUGCAUUUCUUGAAACAGUGAUGUAAAAUGCAGCUACCCUUUGAGAUUCAUGCUCCUCUGGAUCUUGCGACGCAGUUUAUUUAUUUAUAAAAAACAUUUACACACUACUCAAUCAUAAAAAUAUAUCAAAGCAGUUUACAACAUUAAAAAUAUAGAAAACCAUACACUAAAAGUGUAAAAAAAACCAAGCAUCAGGUAACCAUUGUGGAAAGAUACAGUCUGAACUGCCUGCAUAGGCCUUGCGGAAUAGAAAGGUUUUCAGCAGGCUUUUGCUGAAUCUUUAUUGACUGGGUUUAUGGCACUAAAGACUUGGUUUCUCAUUGUCAAGUGAGCAUCACCAACUUGGGGAACAACCAACGACAUUCCUAUAGAUGUUCAAGGCUUUGUAAAUUAAUACCACCUUGAACUUGGCUCAAUAGUAGAUGGGACAUCAGUGCAGCUGUUUUAACAAUGGUGUCACAUGUUCAUAGAAUCUGUCACAGUCUGGUUCACAAGCGAUUGAAGUCCUGGCUGGGGACGUUGGGACCGGGGGCAAGAUGGCAGGGUGGGAGCAGGAACGGGAGUCCAGAAGCCAGGAGUCAGAAAGCCAAGAGUCCGAGGGUCAGAGAGCCGGGAGUCAAGAAGCCGAGGUUCCGAGGGUCAGGAAGCAAGGAGUCACAAAGUCAAGGGUGCUGUGAGUUACCAAUCGACCUCACCUGUGUGGCCGCGCCUUGCUUCUUCAGAACAAACUGAGGAAGGCCCCAGUCCUGCAGAGUCCUAUUGGUCACAGGGCUUGGCUUCAUGCACACCUGACAGAAUCGUAGCGUUGGAAGGGACUGUAAGGGUCAUCUAGUCCAAUUCCCUGCAAUGCAGGAAUCCCAACUAAAACAUUCAAGACACGUGGCCACACAACCUCUGCUUAUAAACCUUCAAUGAAGGAGAGUCCCAAGAGAGACCGUUCAAUUUCGAACAGCUCUUACUGUCAGAAAGCUCUUCCUGGUGUUUAGUGGAAAUCUCCUUUCUUAUAACUUGAAUCCACUGGUUCAAGUUCUACCCUCUAGAUCAGAAGAAAACAAGCUUGCUCCAUAUUCCAUGUGACAGCCCUUGAGAUAGGUGAAGCUGGCUAUCACAUCUCUCAGUUUCCUCUUUUCCAGGCUAAACAUAUCCAGCUCCUUCAACCGUUCCUUAUAAGGAUCGGUUUCAGACCCUUGAUCAUCUUGGUUGCCAUCCUCUGCAACCACGUUCUUGGCCAGAAGCUCCCAUCAGCAAUCUGGCUGCAACAUUCUGUGCCAGCUGGAAUUUAUGGACCCAUUCUCCAACCAAUAAAUGUGCAGAGAGAUGCAGAUAGAAUAAUGUACGAAAGGUGUUAAUGAAAAGAACACAGACAAUUGCAUUAUAUUGACUGCAGAAACCUGUUUGUAAAAACACAUAUAUUACGCAAAAAUGCGUAUUAAAAUGGAUAAAUCAGGAUAAAUGCAUUUUAAGAGCCUGAUGAGUUUUUGUGAGUGCGUUAAAAAUACUUUGCAGACUGAUGCAGGUGGUGAAUUGGACAUCAUAACGGAGAGAAGUGGGAAUAGACGGAUUCUUCCUAUAAACACAACUUUGAAAGGAGAAGAGGCCACGGCAGGAGUUGCAAUAAGGGAAGCUUUUUAGCUUGAGGGCCACAUCCCCUUCUCUGUUACUUUAUUUGGGGUGCACGUCAGUGGUGGGCAGAGCCAGAGGCACGAGUGGGCAGAGCAACCAUUGUUGUUUUUACCUAUAGAAAAGAGUGGCUGCUUUCUGUAGUCACUCACGUACCACUCUCUAUUCUUCAUCCAGGAAAGCCGGAGCCAUUAUAAAGAGAUCAAAGACACACAUUCCAUCCAGGCAAAAACACUCAAAGAGAGUGACCUCAUGAGCCCAGCAGCUCUGUCAAAACUGGGCUGGGGUUGGCAGGCUCUGAUGGAGGAUGCAGAAGAAACGGGGGUGAGGGCUGGGGAACCUCGGUUGAAGUGGGAUCUCCUUUCCACCCUGGCUUUGGUCACUUUGGAAGGGCGAGCAGGGGUGUCGUCUCUCUUCCUGACAUUCCUGUGGAGCAGGAAGACUCAAUGGAGGGCUUUGAUCCACUCACUGGAGGCUGGACAGGAGGCAGCAGUGACUGACCAGGAUCCUGAGCUGGAGGGUGUAACCUUGUGGCCUAGAAGCUGACAGUGCCUUUGCAGAUGGAGCAGACUCGCCCGCUCUGAUGGUGUGCACUCUUGCAGUCUUGAUAUUCCCGCACGACAAGGGAAUCUUGUGAGUGAGCGUCCCACGCCAGUCCUUAACUCCUUGGCCUGCUCCUAAAUUCCUGAACUGCGAUGCUUGAGCACGGUGUCUGCUGCUGAAACUGUACCAUUACUUGCCUGGAUAAAGGUGUCUUCCUCUACUCUAGGUGUUGGGUAGGAGCCAGGACAAGGGCAAAGCAGGGCCAGAGGAAUGUGGCCUGGGGAAAGUCCUGGGGGGCCAAACAGAAAGGCCUCAGGGGCCAUGUUUAGCCCCUAGGCCUGCGUCUUCCCAUCUCUGGGCUGCAGCUUUCAGGGUUCCUGUUCCUCCAUCUUCUUCGAUUGCACCCUGUCAACACACCACAGCAGGGCUAGGACUGGGGAGUGGGGGGCAGGGGAAUCUCCCCUCACCUGCUGGAUUUUCUCAGGGAUGCUGCUGACGGUGAAACCGUAGAGGCGGACCCGAUCAGGGAAGAUGCUGGAGAGGAUCCUGCGAUCCAGCUGGAAGGCAAUCUCUCCAACGAUUCGCUCCAUGGUUACCAGUUUGGGAUCUGUAAGGACCAAGGGGGGAUUUCCAGUCAGUCCAGCAGGAUACCGCAGUAGGCAGCAGAUCUCCCAACUCCUCCUUGAGGGGGACACCCAACGAAGUGCUACAUUUGCUCAGGGAAGCCUUAGGGCCAGGGCAGCCCCCUUAGGACUGUCCCCAUACUGCACCCUCACUGGACAUCCUCCGUGCCCUCCUUGAGUGCUUUUGCCUGUGCAGGAUGUGUCCUUGAGGUGCCUCUGACUUGCCUGGAUAGAGAAACGUGAUGUGUGUGUGUUUGUAGAUAUGCUGGUUGACAUCCUCCAAUGGCACAAAAGAAUAUAGGGUUUAGUCCUGUUGACAAAACUUGCAUAUUAUGAAAGAGAGAUUGAAUGAAGUGCACUAAACAAUAUUUAUUGAAAAAUAGUUUGUUAAUUAUUGGAAUGUAACAUGCCAAGACACUGUUCAACCAUAUAUUUUAUUUUCACUUAUAUAAUCACUAAUAUAAUUUGACAUUCUGCUUGAAAUUCAUUCAUAACCAAAGGCACCCAAAAAGUUAUGUAUCACUCCUUAAACCCCUGGAGACACACUUCAUUGUCUCUUAAGACAGAUGAACGCCAAUAAAAAACCCUUCUUAAACCAUAACUGACCUUUUGUAUAUGGAUCCAAGAUAUUAUGAAAUCAUAUAUAGGUAUAUUGUGAAAUAGAAAGCAGAUGAAGCAGUGGGCAGAGCACUAUCAAGAACUGUACUUGUGGGAAAACAUGGUUGCUGACACAGCAGUUGACAGCAUCCAGACACUGCCUGUCUUGGGAGAGCUGGAUGUCCUCCCUCCCUCAAUGAGCUGAAGAAUGCCAUCAACUCUCAGGCAUGAGGAAAAGUCCCAGGACAGUACCAAAUUCCUAAAAGCUGGCCUCAAGUCCUCCCUCAUGCUGCACCUCCACUACUUCCUCUUGUUGUGUUGGGAUGCAGGAUCCAUGCCGCAAGACAUGCAUGACUCCAGCAUUGUGACCCUCUACAAGAACAAAGGUGACUGCCGUGACUAUUAACAACCAAUUUCUUGCCUUUCCAAAAGGGAAUGGCAGAAUGUGAUGCUAACAACCUAUACCAAGCUGAUUUUUAAAGCACAGGGAGAUCCCCCCCCCCACAACCGCAAGGCUUCUCUUGGAUAAAAGCUUUUUGUUGUGAUGCUAAUGACCAAUACCAAGAUGAAGGCCUACUAGGCUCCUGUGUUGGAUCACACUGCAUGAGUAAGAUUUUGGGCAUCAUAUGGCAGGAUAGAGACUCAAGCAAAAAUGUGCUCUCUCAAGCCCACAUUCCCAGCAUGUUUUCACUCUACUCUCAGCGACGUCUACACUGGCAUGAUCAUGUCCGCAAAAUAAAAGAUGGCAGGAUUCCUAAGGAUGUGCUCUACAGAGAACUGGCUUCAGGCAACAGACCUGUCUGUGAAUAUAACAUGAAUGCUGGCACCAUCAACCCCACAGUGUGGGAAUCUCUUGCUGACAAUUGCAGUGCCUGGAGGCAAUCAAUCAGGUCAUGCAUCCACAGCAGUGACCAGAGGAGAAAAGACCUCUGGGAGGAGUGCAGAAAGAAGAAAUGCCAUGGUACACCUACAUCAGCUCAACUGGAUGCCUUUAUCUGCCUUAGCUGAAACAUAACACGUCUCUCCCAUAUCAGUUUCUACAGCUACAGCAGAUGUUAUAACUCUCCAACAGUCUGACUUUACCCAUAAAGGUGCACUGCUCAUUGUCUCCUGAGACAGACAGAUGCCAGAAGCAUAUUAAAUUGGUAUUCUGCCUUUCAUCCGAAGAUCAUAGGGCAGUUCACAACAUAAAAAUAAACACGAGACAAAAAUACAUUAAGAAUCAAACGGACCAAUAACCCCCCUCCACAAACAUGCAUUUUUAUUUUAUUUAUUAAAAUGAAAGAUGAUUUUAUUUAUUAUUUAUUCAGGGCCACGCUGCCUCUUCAUUCUGGAGAGAGCCCCAUGGCCACCAUGAUUUUAAACCAUAGAUAUUCUCAUCCUCCAUUAAUCCUCCUUUUUAAAACAUCUGGGGAUAGAGGGCAAUUUGCUCAGAUAGGUAAGGUGGUGGUGCCGAGGAAACAAGAAACAUAUUACCUGUAAGGCUGGCCAGUAUCUGGUUUUCAACAUCACAAUAUAUCACCAGCUAAACAUCAUUAUAUAGCACGAUAUAUAUCUGUGGUGGUGGAGGGCCUUGCUGCACCUCCCCGCAGCGGCAGAGGGUCCCGCCAUACCUCCCCACCACUGUGGAGGAUGUGCUGCUCUUCCCUGCAGCAGUAGAGGGCUUUGCUGAGGCUCUCUGCAGCUGUGGAGGGCCUUAAAAUGUAAGGAAGUAGUAGAUUUAAUAAAAAUAUUAAAUAAACUUCCAUAUAAUAUAUUUAAUAUGUUUUCAACUAAUUUAAGAGUAGUUUAAGUGAUUUACUAGUCAAGUUGCAUCUGUUUCCACACUCAGAGGUCUAAGUGGAAUCUUUGCAUACAAGUAAGCCCUCUGACUGGAGAGGAGAGCCAACUGCCCCAUAGACCUUAUGAAUGUAAAAUAGAUCUUCUGUCAGGUGCGCAAUUGCCCACCAGUCGCAUCUAUUUGAUGUCACAAGCAGAGCUUGUGGUUUUGAGACAGUUUUUGGAAGAAUCUAGCAACGGGUUUCAUCAGACCGCCCAAGGCACCAGGAGGCGCCCCUGUGCUAUUCGUGAAGAAAACGGUACCUCAGAACUUAGAUUGUGCACAAACUAUAGGAAGAUUAACCACAUAAUGGUGUCCAAUUGCUGUCUGCUACCACACAUUGGGGAUUUAUUGGAAAGGUUGAGGUCAGGAAAAAUCUUCACAAAGUUGGAUUUGAGGGGGCCUUAUAACCAAUCUGUGUGAGAGAGGGAGAUGAGUGGAAAACAGUGUUCUGCACCAGAUAUGGCAGCUUCGAAUACCUGGUCAUGCCCUUUGGACUGCCGUCAGGGACAGCAACGUUCCAAGCCUUCAUCAACUAUGUCCUCAGAGGCCUAGUGGAUAGAUUCAUGGUGGUUUACCUUGAUGUGCUGAUAUACUCAGAGAAGCCAGAGCAACAUGUACGUCACGUGACAGAGGUGCUGCAGAGACUGUGGAAACAUCAACUCUGUGCCAAGCUGGAAAAGUCUCAGUUUCGUGUAUCAACAGUAGAUUUCCUAGGUCACUGCCUCACACUGGAGGGGUUGCACAUGGAUCCUGCUAAGGCGCAGAGCAUAGUGUCAUGGCAGGAACCCAAGGCAAAGAAAGAUCUGCAGAGAUUCUUGGGUUUUGCCAGCUACUUCAAGUUCGUGCCAAGACUCACUACGCCUCACAGAUUGCUUGAGGGGCAAGAAGCCAUUCCAGUGGACAGCCGAGGUGCGGCAGGCAUUUGAAUUCAAAACCAUAUUCUUCUCAACGGUAUACCUAGCACAUGUAGACCCUCACUGGCCGCUGAUUGUGGAAAUGGAUGCCUCUGACAGGGUGGUGGGGGUGGUGCUGCUGCAAGGAGACCAAGAUGGCAACCUACGCCCGUGUGCCUUCCACUCCAGGAAGCUGACUCCUUCCGAGUAGAAUUACACCAUUUGGGAGAAGGAACUUUUAGUGAUCAAAGAAGCCUUUGAAGUGUGGAGGGGGUGACGCCAGGUGGAGGUGCACACUGAAAGUCCAAAUCUAGAGUAUUGGCAGAUGAUGAGAUGUCUCAAUCAACGGCAGAUUUGUUGGGCGCAGUUCUUUGGCAGAUUUGAUUUUGGACUCCAGUAUGUAGCCGGUAGUUUGAAUCAAGGAGUAGAUGCCCUUUCCAGGAAGCCGGAAUAUCAGGAUGAUGAGCCAGUUCCAGUGUAUAGGCACAACUUGAAGCCAGAGCAGCUACAGCUAGCAGCUGGGUCAGUUGUGGAAGUCUCUGAGUUCCAGCAGAAGACAAGGGAGGAUGCAUUCGCGAAAGGCGAGCUAGUGGUGCUGCGGGGGGAUGCCAGUGAUGUGGAGAGGUUCCUGGAAAAGGAUGGGCUCCUGUAUAGAGGAGAAGCUCUUAUGUUCCAGAGGGAGACCUCUGAGCCAAGGUCUUACGUCAAUGCCAUGAUAACCCUACAGCUGGACACUUGGGGCAGCACAAGACGCUAUGCCAUGUGAUGAGGCAAUUCUGGUGGCCGAGGUUAAGGGAGAAAGUCAAGAAAUAUGCCAGAGCCUGCGAAAUGUGUCAGCGGGCGAAGAGACCCAGAGAAGUGCCAGCGGGCUUGCUAUAACCGUUGCCCACCCCGCAAGGCCCUUGGCAAACCAUAGCUAUGGACUUCAUCACUGAUCUGCCGGAAUCGCAGCAGCAGACAGUGAUCUGGUUGGUGGUAUACCUGUUCACUAAGAUUGCGCACUUUGUGCCCUGUAAGGGACUUCUGACAGCCCAAGAAACAGCACAGCUCUUUGUAGACCAUGUGUUCAAGUUGCACGUGCUCUCAGAGUGAUCUCAGGUGAGCCCAAUUAACCUCAAAGUUCUGGAAGCAGCUCAUGCAACUACUCAAGGUAGAGUUGUGCUUCACCUCAGUUUGACACCCAGAGACGAAUGGAAAGGCAUAAAGGACUAAUGCCAUGUUGCAGCAGUAUCUCCGUAGUUAUGGGAACUACCAGCAGGAUGAUUGGGUGUCCAAACUGCCCUUGGCGGAGUUCACAUACAACAAUGCACUUCAUGCUUCAACGCAACAGACCCCCUUUUUUGCCAGUCAUGGAUACCAUCCCCAACACCCUGUCAGUGCUGGCAGCAGAUGACUUCGUAGAAGUAUUGACAGCUAACCAGAGUUUGCUUAAGGAGCGUUUGGACUGUUCUAAGGAGGCAUAUAAAAAAUCAGCUGAUGUGCAUAGACAGCCAGGUAGUGACAUCAAGGUGGGAUAUGUGGUUGUCAACACAUUAUUUACUUCAGAAAGAUAGAUAUAGAAAACUGGACCGCCAGAGAGGGGGGCCAUUUGAAGUGAUGGAAUAGAUCAAUCCUGCGACUUUCAGGCUCAGGUUGCUGGUAUCAAUGAAGAUCUACCCUGUAUUCCAUAGAUCCUGGUCGUUGCCAGUGGUGCCUGCGCACCCUUACCAAGCACCUAGACAAACACCUCCACCUCCAGUCCUGGUAGAAGGAGAGGAAAAGUUUGAAGUAGAACAAAUUCUAGACUCGCAAAUGAGAAGGAAGAGGUUGCAAUACUUGAUUGUGUGGAGCGGGUAUGGGCCAGAAGAAAGAUACUGGGAAUGUGCAGAAUAUGUUCAUGCCCUGGACUUGCAAAAGGAGUUUUAUAGAAGUCACCCCAGCAGACCAAAACUG